UCGAGAAUUUUUCACAAUGGACGAAAGUCUGAUGGAGCGACGCCGCGUGGAGGAUGAAGGUUCUUGGAUUGUAAACUCCUGUCACUGCAGAACAAGGGUAGCAAAUUGAAUAUUUUUGCUAUUUGAUGGUAUGCGGAGAGGAAGGGACGGCUAACUCUGUGCCAGCAGCCGCGGUGAGACAGAGGUCCCGAGCGUUGUUCGGAUUCAUUGGGCGUAAAGGGUGUGUAGGAGGUCAGGUAAGUCGUGUGUGAAAUCUCAGAGCUUAACUCUGAAACUGCGCUCGAUACUGCUUGGCUAGAGGAUCGGAGGGGGUAACGGAAUUCAUGGUGUAGCAGUGAAAUGCGUAGAUAUCAUGAGGAACACCGGUGGCGAAGGCGGUUACCUGGAAGAUUCCUGACUCUGAAACACGAAAGCCAGGGGAGCAAACGGGAUUAGAUACCCCCGUAGUCC
RNAcentral lists this ribosomal RNA (450 nucleotides) under uncultured bacterium. Its description in RNAcentral is "bacterial SSU rRNA". It matches the Rfam family "Bacterial small subunit ribosomal RNA", at positions 355 to 796 of the family's 1533-position model. The record is from RNAcentral.